Molecule: long non-coding RNA, 1854 nt
Organism: Carassius carassius (crucian carp)
Lineage: Eukaryota; Metazoa; Chordata; Actinopteri; Cypriniformes; Cyprinidae
Exons: 4
Source: RefSeq, a predicted model, not a curated record
AGCAGGGGUUCAGAUAAAAAAUCGGCAGCUGGCAGCAGGAAGUGGUUGCCAUUGACAGCCGGAAGGCAGUAACUGGCAGCCGGAAGGUAGGCGGUACCUGCCACUUGGUGGCAGCCAAUCAGUAUCGACCAACGUGGGCGCAUCCGAUCAGGUAUAACUGCACCCAAAUGCUUCAGUAAUGGUUGCGAUUGGUCAAGCGUUGCCAGAUGCUGUCCUGUUGGAAAUUCUUCUUUAUGUGAUCCUGGAGGAGGGUGAUGCUACAUUAAGUCUGUCUUUGGUUUGUUCCAAAUUCAGAAAUCUGUUGUAUACAGACUCCUUUCGAAAGGGGGCACAAUUCAGAUGGCUUGACAGUGUAUUUUCUUUUAUAUAUUUGAUUAGAGGUUUAAAAUGGUGCCAUAACAUAAAAUUUCUCAGUUGCCAUGUCUGAAUGUUUAUCUUUGUAAUAAUGCUGUUUUUAUGCUCCUCAUCUCAAUAUACAGGUGUAACAAAAUGAAGAACAAGUCUAAGCCAUGCCAGGAAUUCUUCAAAAUGUACACCCUGCAGACACUGCGAUGAGGUUUACAACAACUGCUUACCAGGUCACUGCCAUCAUCCGGAUCCAGUACGUAUCCAGACCAGAUGGUGGAUCAGCACCUAGAGAGGACCUCUACAGCCCUGACAGACAGCAGAGACCAGGACAACUAAAGCCCCAGAUACAGAGCCCCUGUAAAGACCUUGUUUUUUCUCCAUUCUGUCACCGAUGGAGUUUUGGUUCCUUGUCGCCUCUGGCUUGCUUCGUUGUGGUCACUUAAUUUACAGCGAUAUCAUUGACAUGAUUGCAAAUGAUUCCACAGAUAGUAUUUAAACUGAACCGAGCUGAAGGAUGACAUCACUGAAUUCAAUGAUAAACUGCCUUUUAACUAAAAACUGAGUGUUUACUAAUGUCCUUCUGCAUUAUUGACUGACACAAUUUUCCUAUUUAAUACUGUAAAGUUGCUUUGCUUUGAUCUGUAUUAUUAAAAGCACUUCAGAAAUAAAGGAGGCUUGACCUGACCAGGUUGGAAGAGGAAAACGAGGAGAGAUGCACAUCCAUCCUGGGUUUUACAGUGAUUGGUGCAAGAUGCUGGAGGAGUAACUCCGGAUACCUCAUCAGUUCUGAUCUAAGAGUCUUGAAAAUACCUCCGGAUUGUUGUUAGUGAUUCUGAUUGAUAUUUUUGUCUGCUUGCUUACUGGAUAUAUUUUAUACUGUUUACAUUGUAAAGCACUGACUUUGACAACAUACCAACCCGGUUACAAAUUUAACAGCUACUUUAUACUAUAUAUAUAUAUAUAUAUAUAUAUAUAUAUAUAUAUAUAUAUAUAUAUAUAUAGUUUCUUGAAAUACUACAAAUAUAACCGCAAAAUAUGAAUUUAAAUAAAGGUCACUGAGACUUCUCUCUUUUCAGUCAUUUGUGUAUAUAGCCUAUAAUAAAUAUACAACAUACACCUAGUAAGUGCCACUCUCAUAUAUAAAUAAAUAUAAAUGUGUUUGUGUGCAUAUUUCCUUAUUUCACACAAACAAUGAUACAUGCAUGGAUUCAUGCAUAAACAUUCAGCUGGAAACUAACGUUUAGCAAAAUUUUAUUUUUUCUUUGUUUAUAUUUGAUCAACAUUUUAAAUCAAAUAAUAUACAAUACUGACCUAUAUACUUAUUUAAAAAAGUAUUAAAAAUAAUCAUAAAUGUAUAUAAUUAUUUAUUUGUCUUGCUGCCACAGGCAGCCUCCAGGCGGCAAGGAAUUUUAGCGACAGCUGCCAUCCGGUUUUAUUGGCAGCCACUUCCUGCUGCCAGUGACAGCCACUUCCUGCUGACAGCUGCCGAUUUGUCGCCGAACCCCC